Molecule: small nucleolar RNA, 130 nt
Organism: Loxodonta africana (African savanna elephant)
Lineage: Eukaryota; Metazoa; Chordata; Mammalia; Proboscidea; Elephantidae
Rfam family: Small nucleolar RNA U3
About the family: Small nucleolar RNAs (snoRNAs) are involved in the processing and modification of rRNA in the nucleolus. There are two main classes of snoRNAs: the box C/D class, and the box H/ACA class.
Source: Rfam
AAGACUCCACUUUCAGGGUCAUUUCUGCAGUUCAUUACUGGAGAAGUUUCUCUGAUCAUGUACAGCAGUGAUUUUUUUUGAGGAUCCCUGGUAGCACAGCGGUUAAGCCCUUGGCUGCUAACAGAAAGGU